Molecule: long non-coding RNA, 340 nt
Filed under: Olea europaea subsp. europaea
Lineage: Eukaryota; Viridiplantae; Streptophyta; Magnoliopsida; Lamiales; Oleaceae
Source: RNAcentral
UAACGAAUGAGGCCCACUUAUUUGUACACUUAUUUGUAUCAAAAUAAAUUCAAUAGCGUUUUACUGUUUCUUUCCUAUUUUUCUUCAUGUGUAAUCCCAUUUUACCCUUUUACCCUUUGCAAAACCAAUUGAAAUAAUUCCCAAAAAUCAAAACUUUUUACCCUAGCCGCCGCCGGACCGCCGACCACCGACCGUCCUUACUGCCACUCCUGGUUUGCCGACUUCCGUCUCAGCUUCUGCCGACCACGAACCGUAAGUAAUUUGCUAAUUUUCCUCCGACUGUCCAACAAGGUUACAAGAAACUCUUUCAACUUUGGGGUUUAUUUUUGUUAUUCAGAAA